Sinocyclocheilus grahami is the source of this 1744-nucleotide long non-coding RNA. The record is from Ensembl. Lineage: Eukaryota; Metazoa; Chordata; Actinopteri; Cypriniformes; Cyprinidae.
CUAUGAAUUAAUUAGAGAACCAUCAUCUGAUGAUUCUUCAUGUUUGGAAAGUGACUCAGGAUACUUUCAGGAUAAUAAGGAAGCCAUGACAGCUCAACCUGAAAAUGAGAGUCUACUCACUUCCACUGUUGAUGAAGAAGUGAGUGGAGUUCUGGAAUCUGAAGCUUUUCAGGACAAUGUUGAGUAUUCCAAUACAGAAGCCAUGCAGAGGGACACUCUCGAUUUGAGGGAUGGACCUGAGGAGAAGCCUUUCAUAUUUGAGGAUCACAGUGAGCCUGAAUGUCCAGUUCUGCAGUACAAGAGGGUUUCUAUAUCAGGAAGUGAGGAGGAUAUUAAACUGUGUGCUGAUCAUGCUGAAGAACCAACAGAGGAACCAGGCAAAAACCUUCCAAAUGGUCAUUCUGAAACCAACGAGAAUAGUGACCUCCGUGAUAGGGAACAAGAAGCUGUCUUGGAAAGUGAGGUGAAGGAUGUGGUAUUUGAGGAGCCAGAAGAACCUAUCUCAGAUUGGAGCCAAACAGAAGUUGAGAUUCCUGAUGAAGAUCAAGUGUGUUAUAUGUGUGGAGGUCCUGUGGCAAAAAGCUCAGCUGAAUCAAGCGAACAGGGUGACGAUUGUCUGUCCCAUUUAAACUCAACUGAGAAGGAUUGUAAUUCAGACUUGAGACAUUUCAGUGAAUCAGAAGGAAACUUUGAGGACAAUCCAAGGGAAAAGAACAAUGAAUUAAACGGAACUGUAUGUGAUCUCAAGAAUGAGCCAAGAGAGAGUAAAGGUAUUCAUGAAGAUCUGCUUAUUAUAGGAAAGAGCCCCUUGGAAAAUGGGUCAGAUGGCAUAAGGAGGACAGAGUUCUCUCACAAUACAAACAGUGAAAGCCAAGCUCAGGUUUCAGACAAUAUGGAGCCUAGAGGGGUCAAGGAUAACAGACCUGUAUCAGUAGUGGACUCCCACUAUGAUGUUCUGAAUUCCGUCACUGAGACCUUUGUGGAGCCUCUUUCUGACACCAGCAUCCAUGAUGGAGAAAACGACUCUACACUGUCCCAAAGCCUGCACAGACUGCAUCCAGAAGUGUCCAGCACUGAACUACCAAUUGAAGAGGAGACCACCUUUGAGGACUCAAAGUUUGUUAUUGGUGUCCGUGGGUACCCUGAAAGACGUCCUGCAGAGCUACGCCUGUCCCUCAGCAUGACUCCGCUUCAGCCGGCACCUCCUAAGCGUUCACUUACUGAAUCGGAUACAGACACUGAAGACACAUCAGAGGACCACGGCAAGGGAUUUAAGUCGAGAAAGGACAGAGCGGGAUCCAUGCAUAUCCAGGAGCAAAGCCCGUUUGACAGGCACCCGGGAGAAUGGGGCGCGGUGGAGCCUGAUUCACCCGCUGAGCAUUGUGAGCUCAUUAAGACAGAUGACAACCUGACCAUCAGCGCUGGUGCCAGAGAAAACACUGGGGCUAUGAGGGAAGGAGCUGUGACGGAUGCAAGCCAACCUUUGACUACUAUACACUUGAGAAAGGUCAUUGACAUCACUGAAUCAAAGGUUUGUUAAUGCAAAAGGUAUUAUUAGUGACAAUAAAAUGCAUAGACUUUAAAGGAUCCAAGCUGUAUCUAGGGACAAGAGUAUUAUAGAGACUCCUAGGUGGGCUCUUUUGACUUCUGCCUGUAAAUAAGACCCAGAAAACACUAGAAACCACAUAGCAUAAUUGUAAACAAUAGUCAGAACACCUUAGCAACCACAUAGGAACAAACUGGC